Non-coding RNA from Bos taurus (domestic cattle), 72 nucleotides. The record is from Rfam. NCBI's taxonomy places the organism in Eukaryota, Metazoa, Chordata, Mammalia, Artiodactyla, Bovidae.
UCCCUGGUGGCUCAGUGGUAAAGAGUCUGCCUGCCAAGGCAGGGGACACAGGUUUGAUCCCUGAUCUGGGAA